RNAcentral lists this ribosomal RNA (301 nucleotides) under uncultured bacterium. Its description in RNAcentral is "partial 16S ribosomal RNA". It matches the Rfam family "Bacterial small subunit ribosomal RNA", at positions 509 to 807 of the family's 1533-position model. The record is from RNAcentral.
CAGCCGCCGCGGUAAUACGUAGGUGGCAAGCGUUGUCCGGAAUUAUUGGGCGUAAAGGGCUCGCAGGCGGUUUCUUAAGUCUGAUGUGAAAGCCCCCGGCUCAACCGGGGAGGGUCAUUGGAAACUGGGAAACUUGAGUGCAGAAGAGGAGAGAGGAAUUCCACGUGUAGCGGUGAAAUGCGUAGAGAUGUGGAGGAGCACCAGUGGCGAAGGCGACUCUCUGGUCUGUAACUGACGCUGAGGAGCGAAAGCGUGGGGAGCGAACAGGAUUAGAUACCCGCGUAGUCCCUGUCUCUUAUAC